Molecule: long non-coding RNA, 800 nt
Filed under: Homo sapiens (human)
Lineage: Eukaryota; Metazoa; Chordata; Mammalia; Primates; Hominidae
Description: HSALNT0175304
Source: RNAcentral
UGCUAGUUUGGAGUACUUACAAUGGGCUCAGCACUGUGUUGGUCUUUUUGUAGGUGUUCAUCUUACUUAAUCUUCUCCUGGAAUCCUAUUAGGUCAUUAUUACUGGCUCCAUUUUGCAGAUGAGAAAACUGAGGCUCAGCAAGGUGGUAUGACUUGCUGAAAGUCGCACAGAAUGUAUAGCACGGAACUGGGAAUCAAACUCAGGUCACGGUUUUUCCUAUGACCCCUACUUGGUGGAGGCACCAAGCCAUGCUGGUUACCUGAUGGGGACUGACAGCGUCUGUCACUGGAAUUAACUAACUGGGGCCUGGCCUUGUGCCUGAAUGUUGAGAGAGCCAGCCACCUGGAAAGUCGUGCCAGUUCAUGUGGCCCAAUGGGUAAAAUUUCUCCAUCACGCCCACUCCUCUGCUUCCCUCCUAACCCACUCAGGGUUCCUGCUUCUGAUGAGGGCAGGGACCUCCAGUUGACAAUUUAGCUCCCUAAAGCAAAAAAGAGUCUUUUCCUCCUGAUCAUUAAAAACUCAAACAGGAAAAAACAAACAAACAAAAAACCUAUUUUAAAACAGGGUUUAACAGGAUUCUUUGCUGUUUCCCAGAGACAUCCUGUGCUUUAUAUUUUAUUGGCAAUUAAGUGGGGGUGGAAGAUACCCUUUGUGACUCAAGUAAGGAACUGCCACCACCCACCCCAGGUUGCCUGCCCUCCGUGGUUACAUCCCAGCUACAGCCAGGACAUGUGAAGGAUAAUCAAUGAAUCAGCAGGCAAGCAGCAUGAAUAGGGAGGGAAGAAAGCCUUCCUCCUGG